CAGUCGCCACGGGAAUACAGAGGGUGCGAGCGUUAAUCGGAUUUACUGGGCGUAAAGCGUGCGUAGGCGGCUAAUUGAGUCGGAUGUGAAAUCCCCGAGCUUAACUUGGGAAUUGCAUUCGAUACUGGUUAGCUAGAGUGUGGGAGAGCAUGGUAGAAUUCCAGGUGUAGCGGUGAAAUGCGUAGAGAUCUGGAGGAAUACCGAUGGCGAAGGCAGCCAUCUGGCCUAACACUGACGCUGAGGUACGAAAGCAUGGGGAGCAAACAGGAUUAGAUACCCGCGUAGUCCCUGUCUCUUAUAC
RNAcentral lists this ribosomal RNA (301 nucleotides) under uncultured bacterium. RNAcentral describes it as "partial 16S ribosomal RNA". It matches the Rfam family "Bacterial small subunit ribosomal RNA", at positions 509 to 807 of the family's 1533-position model. The record is from RNAcentral.